Molecule: ribosomal RNA, 443 nt
Filed under: uncultured bacterium
Lineage: Bacteria
Description: partial 16S ribosomal RNA
Rfam family: Bacterial small subunit ribosomal RNA
Source: RNAcentral
CCUACGGGAGGCAGCAGUGGGGAAUAUUGGACAAUGGGGGGAACCCUGAUCCAGCGACGCCGCGUGAGUGAAGAAGUAUUUCGGUAUGUAAAGCUCUAUCAGCAGGGAAGAAAGAAAUGACGGUACCUGACUAAGAAGCCCCGGCGAACUACGUGCCAGCAGCCGCGGUAAUACGUAGGGGGCAAGCGUUAUCCGGAUUUACUGGGUGUAAAGGGAGCGUAGACGGCGAUGCAAGUCUGAAGUGAAAGGCGGGGGCCCAACCCCCGGACUGCUUUGGAAACUGUAUGGCUGGAGUGCAGGAGAGGUAAGUGGAAUUCCUAGUGUAGCGGUGAAAUGCGUAGAGAUUAGGAGGAACACCAGUGGCGAAGGCGGCUUACUGGACUGUAACUGACGUUGAGGCUCGAAAGCGUGGGGAGCAAACAGGAUUAGAUACCCUAGUAGUC